RNAcentral lists this ribosomal RNA (253 nucleotides) under uncultured bacterium. RNAcentral's name for it is "partial 16S ribosomal RNA". It matches the Rfam family "Bacterial small subunit ribosomal RNA", at positions 524 to 776 of the family's 1533-position model. The record is from RNAcentral.
UACGGAGGAUGCAAGCGUUAUCCGGAUUCAUUGGGUUUAAAGGGUGCGUAGGCGGGGCAGUAAGUCAGUGGUGAAAUCCUGCGGCUUAACCGUAGAACUGCCAUUGAUACUGUUGUCCUUGAGUAUAGUUGAAGUGGGCGGAAUAUGUAAUGUAGCGGUGAAAUGCAUAGAUAUUACAUAGAACACCAAUUGCGAAGGCAGCUCACUAAGCUAUCACUGACGCUGAGGCACGAAAGCGUGGGGAGCGAACAGG